UUUGCAGCUAGGAGAGGUUUUGUUUGCAGCUAGGAGAGGGUUUAUUUGCAGCUAGGAGAGGUUUUGUUUGCAGCUAGGAGAGGGUUUAUUUGCAGCUAGGCGAGGUUUUGUUUGCAGCUAGGAGAGGGUUUGUUUGCAGCUAGGAGAGGCUUUAUUUGCAGCUAGGAGAGGAUUUAUUUGCAGCUAGGAGAGGGUUUGUUUGCAGCUAGGAGAGGGUUUAUUUGCAGCUAGGAGAGGUUUUGUUUGCAGCUAGGAGAGGGUUUAUUUGCAGCUAGGAGAGGUUUUGUUUGCAGCUAGGAGAGGGUUUAUUUGCAGCUAGGCGAGGUUUUGUUUGCAGCUAGGAGAGGGUUUGUUUGCAGCUAGGAGAGGCUUUAUUUGCAGCUAGGAGAGGAUUUAUUUGCAGCUAGGAGAGGAUGUGUUUGCAGCUAGGAGAGGGUUUGUUUGCAGCUAGGAGAGGGUUUGUUUGCAGCUAGGAGAGGGUUUGUUUGCAGCUAGGAGAGAGUUUGCAGCUAGGAGAUGGUGUGUUUGCAGCUAGGAGAGGUUUUGUUUGCAGCUAGGAGAGGAUUUAUUUGCAGCUAGGAGAUGGUUUGUUUGCAGCUAGGAGAGGGUUUGUUUACAGCUAGGAGAGGGUGUGUUUGCAGCUAGGAGAGGGUUUGUUUGCAGCUAGGAGAGGAUUUGUUUGCAGCUAGGAGAGGGUUUGUUUGCAGCUAGGAGAGGGUUUGUUUGCAGCUAGGAGAGGGUUUGUUUGCAGCUAGGAGAGGGUUUGUUUGCAGCUAGGAGAGGGUUUGUUUGCAGCUAGGAGAGGGUUUGUUUGCAGCUAGGAGAG
This is a long non-coding RNA of Oncorhynchus keta (chum salmon), 826 nucleotides long. RefSeq lists it as uncharacterized. Lineage: Eukaryota; Metazoa; Chordata; Actinopteri; Salmoniformes; Salmonidae. The transcript is spliced from 4 exons. The record is from RefSeq and is a predicted model, not a curated record.